Molecule: ribosomal RNA, 460 nt
Filed under: uncultured bacterium
Lineage: Bacteria
Description: partial 16S ribosomal RNA
Rfam family: Bacterial small subunit ribosomal RNA
Source: RNAcentral
CCUACGGGAGGCAGCAGUGAGGAAUAUUGGUCAAUGGGCGGAAGCCUGAACCAGCCAAGUCGCGUGAGGGAUUAAGGCCCUAUGGGUCGUAAACCUCUUUUGUCAGGGAGCAAUGGCGUCCACGUGUGGGCGUAUGGAGAGUACCUGAAGAAAAAGCAUCGGCUAACUCCGUGCCAGCAGCCGCGGUAAUACGGAGGAUGCGAGCGUUAUCCGGAUUUAUUGGGUUUAAAGGGUGCGUAGGCGGGACCUUAAGUCAGCGGUAAAAUUGCGGUGCUCAACGCCGUAGAGCCGUUGAAACUGGGGUUCUUGAGUGAGCGAGAAGUAUGCGGAAUGCGUGGUGUAGCGGUGAAAUGCAUAGAUAUCACGCAGAACCCCGAUUGCGAAGGCAGCAUACCGGCGCUCAACUGACGCUGAGGCACGAAAGUGCGGGUAUCGAACAGGAUUAGAUACCCUUGUAGUC